AGUUAUUUAUUGCUUUAAACUCAGCUAGGAAGAUUUUUCCAUUAUAAAGUGAUCAUACAAGCUUUUCUUUUCAAUAUGAAAAAACAGUUUUCAGUCUUUUAAAUUGUCAAAAAUAUGUUCCAAAUUCUCAAAUUAGUUUAUGCUAUGAUUCUUCUUCUUUUCCUCUUUCUUAUUGUAACCGAUGCUAAUUGUUAUGAGUGUAUCCGUCCUCAAUUCAUGGUCUGCAAUUUGCGAGGGUGUCGUUGUGGAACAUGGGAGGACACUUAAGUUUAGAAAUAAUGCUUUGAGUAAUUGUUAUCAUGCAAGUUUUGUAUCCUUUGUUUAUUUUUUGAAUAAUAGGAAAUCUAAUGACAUCACUUCAUAAUUACAAUUGUCUGUUUAAAUAUAGACAAUAUGCUUACAUGAAUUAGUUCUUUUUAUUAUACUUUUAUAAAAUGGAUAAGUAUUUGAAAA
Vicia villosa (hairy vetch) is the source of this 453-nucleotide long non-coding RNA. RefSeq lists it as uncharacterized. The record is from RefSeq and is a predicted model, not a curated record. NCBI's taxonomy places the organism in Eukaryota, Viridiplantae, Streptophyta, Magnoliopsida, Fabales, Fabaceae. The transcript has 2 exons.